RNAcentral lists this long non-coding RNA (874 nucleotides) under Pan troglodytes (chimpanzee). Its description in RNAcentral is "long non-coding RNA NONPTRT008783". Lineage: Eukaryota; Metazoa; Chordata; Mammalia; Primates; Hominidae. The record is from RNAcentral.
AAGCAGGACAGUAAACAGGUCCAGGUGGACCUCCAGGACCUGGGCUACGAGACUUGUGGCCAAAGCAAGAAUGAGGCUGAACAGGAGGAAACCACCAGUCCCGGAAAUAUGAUUCCCUGAUUCAGGAUCAGGCCCGGGAACUGUCUUACCUACGGCAAAAAAUACGAGAAGGGAGAGGUGUUUGUUAUCUUCUCACCCAGCAUGCAAAAGAUACAGUAAAAUCUUUUGAGGAUCUCCUAAGGAGUAAUGACAUUGACUACUACCUGGGACAGAGCUUCCGGGAGCAACUGGCCCGGGGAAGCCAGCUGACAGAGAGGCUCACCAGCACACUCAGCACCAGUAAGUUGGCCACAGGGCUUUGGAAUACUCUCAGUCACCCCACAGUUCCAGCCCCUGGUGGCCACCACAUCUCCACUGCAACUUUUUAACGGAGGGUCCUGUUUCUAUUUCAUUUCCUGGGGCUAAUACAGGAUCAAGACUGCUCAAUGGGGAGCAUGGAGAGGAACACACAGGGCUGGAGAUGCCAUGGUUACAACUCUAGAAACGUCACCACUCAUGGAAUGUGACCUGUGGGGCAGGGGAGACAUCUCUCUGGUGCUAAGAGGGAGUAGGGGACAUGAGAUGGAAGGGCCUUGUUAUAGGAGGAAGAGCCGUGAACUAAGAAUUGCAAGACGUCAAGGCGCUGAGGCCAAAGGAUCCGUGAGGAAACAGGCACAGCUCACGCCCCUCGGCCUACGGAAGGGAGGGCAAGGAGGGUUCUACGGUUCCUGGGAGGACGCGAAGAGCCAAGAGCCCCGACGGCCGGCGCCGGGGAAAAGGCCCCGACGCGGGGUCCGCAUCCCUGGAAGGGCGGCGUCCACAUUCCUGAGAGGCA